AACGCGAAGAACCUUACCAGGGUUUGACAUCCUGUGCUCUCCGGAGAAAUCCGGUUUCCCCGCAAGGGGCGCAGAGACAGGUGCUGCAUGGCUGUCGUCAGCUCGUGUCGUGAGAUGUUGGGUUAAGUCCCGCAACGAGCGCAACCCUCGCCUUUAGUUGCCAUCAUUCAGUUGGGCACUCUAGAGGGACCGCCGGCGACAAGCCGGAGGAAGGUGGGGAUGAAGUCAAGUCAUCAUGGCCCUUACACCCUGGGCUACACACGUGCUACAAUGGCGGUAACAAUGGGCAGCUAACUCGCGAGAGCAAGCUAAUCCCAAAAAACCGUCCCAGUUCAGAUUGCACUCUGCAACUCGGGUGCAUGAAGGUGGAAUCGCUAGUAAUCGCAGAACAGCAGGCUGCGGUGAAUACGUUCCCGGGCCUUGUA
RNAcentral lists this ribosomal RNA (425 nucleotides) under uncultured Alphaproteobacteria bacterium. RNAcentral's name for it is "bacterial SSU rRNA". It matches the Rfam family "Bacterial small subunit ribosomal RNA", at positions 958 to 1385 of the family's 1533-position model. Lineage: Bacteria; Pseudomonadati; Pseudomonadota; Alphaproteobacteria. The record is from RNAcentral.